GGCUGGUCUGAAGUAGUGAGUUAACUCAAUUACUUGUUCACUGUCAGUUAUAGAUUAACCUUCUCACUCUUGCCCCUUCUCACCACUGCACUUGACCUGAUCCCA
RNAcentral lists this Y RNA (105 nucleotides) under Carlito syrichta (Philippine tarsier). RNAcentral describes it as "Y RNA (ENSTSYG00000022994.2)". It matches the Rfam family "Y RNA". From Rfam's summary of the family: Y RNAs are components of the Ro ribonucleoprotein particle (Ro RNP), in association with Ro60 and La proteins. The Y RNAs and Ro60 and La proteins are well conserved, but the function of the Ro RNP is not known. The record is from RNAcentral. Lineage: Eukaryota; Metazoa; Chordata; Mammalia; Primates; Tarsiidae.